CUCAUAGACACAAAAACAGAGGUUCAGAAAUCUCUUCACUUGUUGAUAUUUCUAGUGAUAAAAAUUUACAUCAUACAGGGGCAAGAUGGCAUGGUAGAGGGGACAGCAGAGGGUGAUGAAACUGCCUGUGGUGGUGCUCCAAUCAAUCCAUGCUCUGGUUUGUGCUCUGUGAAGUCACAGUGGCCUCACUACCAAGACCUGAGGCCAGCACGUGCCCUGUUGAGUUCCCCUCUAUACCUCUCUUCCCUUUUCAGUGUCUCUGUCUUUUUAACUCUUUCUCUCCUCUAGAAUUCUCCAUUUCUUCCAAUGUCUCCUCCUUCCUGGUUUACUGGCUUUCCUCCAGCUGUGGUAGCCCCAACCCUCCUCUGGUGUCCAUGGCUCUCCCAGCCUCCUGUUCAUACAUUUCUACUUCUAAGUUGUGCCCAGAAGUUUUUGGCUCACAAUGAGCUUGAACACACGACAGGUGGGAACUUCACCACUUUCAAAUUGUUGAUAAUGUUUAUUAGUGAUUUUUAUCUGAUACCUUUUUUCUACCUUGUUAAAUCAUUUUUCUUUCUUGAGGCCUGAGACCCCAUUAAAGCUUAUCUAUCCAGUCCUGC
This 599-nucleotide long non-coding RNA is filed under the name Pan troglodytes (chimpanzee). RNAcentral's name for it is "lncRNA (ENSPTRG00000054589.1)". Lineage: Eukaryota; Metazoa; Chordata; Mammalia; Primates; Hominidae. The record is from RNAcentral.